AGCAGCCGCGGUAAUUCCAGCUCCAAUAGCGUAUAUUAAAGUUGUUGCAGUUAAAAAGCUCGUAGUUGAAUUUCGGGGUUAGUAGGUUGGUCAUGCCUCUGGUAUGUACUGGUCUCACUGAUUCCUCCUUCCUGAUGAGCCGUAAUGCCAUUAAUUUGGUGUUGCGGGGAAUUUGGACUGUUACUUUGAAAAAUUAGAGUGUUUAAAGCAAGCUAACGCUUGAAUACAUUAGCAUGGAAUAAUGAAAUAGGACGUUCGAUCCUAUUUUGUUGGUUUCUAGGAUUGACGUAAUGAUUAAUAGGGAUAGUUGGGGGCAUUAGUAUUCAAUUGUCAGAGGUGAAAUUCUUGGAUUUAUUGAAGACUAACUACUGCGAAAGUAUUUGCCAAGGAUGUUUUCAUUAAUCAAGAACGAAAGUUAGGGGAUCGAAGACGAUCAGAUACCGUCGUAGUCUUAACCAUAAACUAUGCCGACUAGGGAUCGGAUGAUGUUAAUUUUUAAUGACUCA
This 506-nucleotide ribosomal RNA is filed under the name uncultured Glomeraceae. RNAcentral's name for it is "SSU rRNA". It matches the Rfam family "Eukaryotic small subunit ribosomal RNA", at positions 569 to 1078 of the family's 1831-position model. Lineage: Eukaryota; Fungi; Glomeromycota; Glomeromycetes; Glomerales; Glomeraceae. The record is from RNAcentral.